AUGCAGGCCAGUGAACUCAUCGCUGAAUCUGUCCCUGAAAGAUCAAGUACCCUCCUAGAAGAACAACAAUAUUCGGCAUUAGGAGACAUCACAACCGCAGAGUUGAAAGAGACUGAAACUCCACCAGUUGCACCUACCGUAAACAAGGAAAAUGAAGCAACGGAAAGAAUUACUGAAGCUGCUGUAGGAGAAAGUUUCAGAAGCAAAGAAGAGGUUUCGAGCAUAGUAGCUGAAAAUGGAUCCUUAAACACUGACAUGGAAGAAACAGUCUCUGAAGUUAUGACUGAGGAAAUUCCUGAGUGUGACAUUGCCAAAAAAGAUGAAAAUACAGAAUCUCCAGGAAGUGAUCUACCCCUUGCUGAAGAAAACGACAAAAUUGUGGAGGAAGAUCUCCUCGUAGACAAAGAGGAAGCGUCAAGUCUUGCGGUUGAAACUGGAAGUUUGAUAACUGAUGUAUCCGAUAUCUUGGCAAUAGAUACAGAAGAAAUUUCUGAUGCUGAAAUAUUCCAAAAAGUUGAAAGUAUCGGCAUUGAAGCAUCCGUAGGUAAAGAAAUAGUAGCUAUUCAACAGCCUCCAGUCGCCGAUGGUUGUGAGGAAAGUGCUCAAGAAACCAAAGAUGAAGUGUCUAGUCUAAAGGCAGAGGUAGGCAGUCCGAUCACUGAUGUUGUCUCAGAAAUGAUCGUGGAAUUGGAGACCAUUGAAAAUCUAGAGCAGGAAACGAGUCAUAAAGCUGUACUCACAGGCGUAAAAGAUGAAUCCUCCUCUGUUGAAAUAGUUGAAGAGGGCUGUGAGCUUGUUCCCGAGGACAUAGCAAGAGAAGAAUUAAAUGACGAAGUUUCAAGCUUAAUUGUUGAAACAGGAAGCCAAAUCGAAGAUAUCCCAGAAGUCUCAGAGCUGGAGACUCAAGUCUGCGCCAAUCCAUUAAGCACAUUUGAAGUUCAAGGCGAAGCUCCUGAAUCACUUGAACUUGAAUGCUCUAUGUCAGAAGACGCUCUAGAGGAGACAUCAAGCAUACUUGUUGAAGCAGGAAGUCAGGUCACCGAUCUUAUCUCAGAACCCUCUGUCUUUGAUCUAGAUAGCCCAUCCAGCCUGGAUUCAUUAGAUGAAGAGACCCCAGGUUUUGAGGUCUCCGACUCCGAAGAUGAAGCAUGCGCUCUCCUUCAAGAGCGUCAAAAAGUAGAAGAAAUUGAGACUGGUGCGAUUCUGGAAAUAGUUGAAACAGCUGUUACUGAGUUAUUAUUCAAAGUUGUCGAAGAGAUGACAAUUGAUGCUAAAAAUUCUGAAGCCUGCGAAGAACGUGAAAUUGGUGAAAUGACUGACGAUCAAUUAACUUUAAAGUCAGUGGCUCCUCAGGCUGAAAAAAUAACCAUUAGCUCCAACAUACCUUCAGUGGCUGAAAAUGAUAAUAAAGAAUGCAUAGCAGAUGUAGAGCUCAUGCCUCAAGGCACAGAAGAAAUUCUAAUUUCAACUCUUUCAACUCUCUCUACUUCAGAGGCAAUUAUCAAUGAAAAUUCAGAUAGUGCAUCUGUAAGUGUAGAAAUCGAAAAUCACAUAUUAAGAACUGCAAGUUCAUGCUCUGAUAAAACUAAGGUCUUGCCAGAACAUGAAAAGAGCAUAUCAGGAAGUGCGGAAGUUCUUGAUCAAAUCGUUGAAACAGGAAAGGCGAUAGAAUCCGAACAAACCAUUAUUGAAGAUACAGAAGUUACAACGAACUGUUUGAAUGAAACUAGCGAAGAUGAAAUUCAUACUGAAAUCUCUUCAACGCCGCCAGUAAAUUUCGAGGUCAUAGAGCCUGCAACUACUCUUACAUCCUCGAUCUGUAUUGAGACUCCUAGCAAAGAUUCUAGCCCUAUCACAAUAGAACCAACGAGUUCUAAGUUCAACGAAACCUCAGCAAGUGAGGCCGCAAAAUCCAAUGAAGCCAACCCAGCUCUAAUGAUCGCUAGCAUGGAACAUGUUAACGUCGGUAAUACAGAUGGUAAUCUAAAUCUAAUGCCAAGCUUUCCGAGCGCUGAAUCUGAAGAGUGCAAUAUUGUGUCAGAAGGUACUGAUUUUAGACCCUCAGAAGUACAGUGUAACAUUGCAUCAAGAAUUUGUGAAACCGAGCAGUUUUUGGAAAUUGACUCUGUAGGAAUUGAUGUUCCUAUUUUACCAGAAACAGCAAAUGAUUCCACGAGGCAAGUCUGUUCCGUCAUUAAGCCUCCAGAAUUAGAAGCUAAAAACAGUAUUGUUAGUUCUGGUAGUCAAGAUAAUAAUGCAACUUCAGUAUCUCAAUCUUCACUUGGAACUGUUCAUGUUGAUCUCUUAGAGCCAAAGGAAUCCCUACCAGUCACAAUAACUAAUGUUACAGAUGCCGCUGAUGAUAUUGAAAGCAAAGUAGAUGAAGGAAGAGAAAGUGCUUCAUCGAAGGAAUUGUUGGAGUCAGUUGACACACAAGCCAGUGUACAUACUGAGGAAAAAAUUGAUAAAUCAAUCUGCACCAGCGAAAAUGAGACUGACAACUUCCCUACUCCAUCCAUUGAAUCCAAAUUGACCAUCGAGCAGCAUCAAAGUAUUGAUUCUCCUGUAGAGAGUCGCCCUAAAAAUGAUUGUCUAGAAGCAGAUUCAGUUGGAGAAUCUGUUGAAAUUUCAGUCCCGUUGAAAUCGGAAGUAACAGCGCAAGUAUCGAAGAGGAGAGGAAGACCACCGAAACGGAAACGUCCCAUCAAGAUAAGUCAAGUGGAAGCCCCAAAUAUUACUUGUUUAGGUGAGAAAUCAGUAUCUAUCGAAGCAGGGAGCGUGAAGCCCAGUGAAGUGUCAAUUGAAACAUGUAGCUCUCCGCCGCCAGCUAAAAGAUUCUUGUUUGAAAGACCCAAAACUCGCCGUUUUGCAAAAGCAGAGCCAAUUAAAUCAGACGGCAUACAAAAUCAGAAUAGUACAAAAGAAACAGAUUUUGCUGAGAAAAUACAACCCUCAUCAAAAGUAAAUGCUGGUACCUUUUUAUCUCCUACUGAAAGGCCACAUACCCGUAGGCGCACAUCAGAAUGCGCAAUUGAGUCCGAAGUGACAUCUGAUGAGUUGGAAAAGGAAGGAUUAAAUGACUCAAGCCCUGCAAGAAGUUUGCCCGCUCAUGAACCUCAAACAUUGGAAUCAAAGCCUAAACGUGGAAGGCCCAAGAAGACAAGGCCCUCCUCUACGUCGCAAAGUGAAUCUGACAGCGUCAGUGAUGGGCGUCUUGACACCUCAGCUUGCUCUCAGCCUGAAAAUCCUGAAUCGAUGGACUCCGAUGUGUUAGCCGAGGAUGCUAAACCAAGGAGAGGAAGAAAAAAGAAAGGAAGUGUUACCACGGAAACAUGUAAAGAGUUUCAAAUAAAUCUAAAACAAACAGAACCUAUAGUUUUGGAUCAAAGUGUCGCGGCGCCUAAAAGUUCUUUAGAGAGUUAUCAGUCUGAAGAGUCCGUAGUUUACCUUGAAAAAGCUGAAAAUAUUGAUGAAAGUUCUGAAGAUUAUGUUGAACCCAAGGAAGAGUGGAAAAAGAAAAAUACCCUUCCUUCAGAAACCGCAGAAAGCAGAGCCGCAGAGCCGGGCAAAAGUAAAAAAACGGGAGCAUCUUAUCCUCAAGAAUGUAGUAAGCCUGACGAAAGGAUUGUCUCUAGUCCUAAGUUGGAGGCAGAUAUAAUCGGUAGGGAAUGGAAGGACAAUCUCGAAAAAAACAGGGAGCAGUUAGGUGAAGCCUUCUCUGAUAUUAAAUCUAGAAGAGGCAGGCGUAAAAUAAGUUUCAAUGAAAAUCCAGCGGCAUGUGAACUUAAAAUUGCAUCGCCACAAUCUUCUAAAAACUCCAAGAAAGAAGACAGUACUUCCAAAAAUGAGAGUUUAACGGAAGUUAUCGACAUCCCUGAAGACAAACCCAGGAGAGGAAGGCGCAAAACAAGUGCUAGCUCUACAGACACUGAGGCACCUAAAAAUGAUGCAAUGGAGAAUGAAAACCUGGUUGAACUUGAGCUUCCUAGUACCAAUGCAAAUGAAGAUAUUGAAGGGUUACGUAACACACUAAUCUCAGACAGUAAACUCAGGAGUGGUAGACGUAAAAUAAGUUUUAGCUCAGUUGCACAGUCUUCCGUAACUCAAAAAGUAGACUCUGUAUUGACAAGUCCUGAAGACCAACAGAGAAUUCAGCCAGCCUUAGAAUGCACACCCAGGAGAGGAAGGCGGAGAAACUAA
This 4200-nucleotide long non-coding RNA is filed under the name Bemisia tabaci. Its description in RNAcentral is "lncRNA ENSASIAIIG006254". Lineage: Eukaryota; Metazoa; Arthropoda; Insecta; Hemiptera; Aleyrodidae. The record is from RNAcentral.